GACGAACGCUGGCGGCGUGCUUAACACAUGCAAGUCGAACGAAGCUUGAUUACGGAUUCUUCGGAUGAAGUAUGAUAUGACUGAGUGGCGGACGGGUGAGUAACGCGUGAGUAACCUGCCCUUCAGAGGGGGAUAGCGUUUGGAAACGAACGGUAAUACCGCAUAAUGUAUUUUGACCGCAUGAUCGAAAUACCAAAGAUUUAUCGCUGAAGGAUGGACUCGCGUCUGAUUAGGUAGUUGGUGGGGUAACGGCCUACCAAGCCGACGAUCAGUAGCCGGACUGAGAGGUCGAUCGGCCACAUUGGGACUGAGACACGGCCCAGACUCCUACGGGAGGCAGCAGUGGGGAAUAUUGCACAAUGGGCGCAAGUCUGAUGCAGCAACGCCGCGUGAAGGAAGACGGUUUUCGGAUUGUAAACUUCUGUUCUUAGUGAAGAAUAAUGACGGUAGCUAAGGAGCAAGCCACGGCUAACUACGUG
This 479-nucleotide ribosomal RNA is filed under the name uncultured bacterium. RNAcentral describes it as "partial 16S ribosomal RNA". It matches the Rfam family "Bacterial small subunit ribosomal RNA", at positions 28 to 507 of the family's 1533-position model. The record is from RNAcentral.